RNAcentral lists this ribosomal RNA (704 nucleotides) under Macrococcus sp. Its description in RNAcentral is "bacterial SSU rRNA". It matches the Rfam family "Bacterial small subunit ribosomal RNA", at positions 755 to 1459 of the family's 1533-position model. The record is from RNAcentral. Lineage: Bacteria; Bacillati; Bacillota; Bacilli; Caryophanales; Staphylococcaceae.
AGUGGUGGGGCAACCACCAAUAUUUAAUCCCCUAGUACUCCCCGURAUAAAGGAGAGUAAUURRUGGGGGGGGUUUUCCCCUCUGUGUGCAAAUCUCACACUAAAAACYCCCCUGUGGAGAAUGCUCCCAAAAGGGUAAAUCUCAAAAAAAUUUCGCGGGGGCCCACACAAGGGGGAGCACAUGGGGUUUUUAUUAAACACCACGCAAAACCCCUUCCCAGGUCUUCAUCUCCUCACAACUCUACAGAUAUGGGUUUUUCCCUUGGGGAACAAAGAGACAGGUGGUGCAUGGUUGUCGUCAGCUCGUGUUGUGAAAUGUUGGGUUAAGUCCCGCAACGAGCGCAACCCUUAUCUUUAGUUGCCAUCAAUAAGUUGGGCAAUUUAAAGGAACUUCCCAGUACUAACCGGAGGAAAGUGGGGAAGACCUCCAAUCCUCAUUCCCCUUAUGAUUCGGGCUUCCCCCGUGCUUCCAUGGGUGGUUCAAAGGGCAACCAACCCGCGAGGUCAAACAAAUCCCAUAAAACCAUUUUCAGUUCGGAUUGUAGUUUGCAACUCGGCUUCAUGAAACUGGAAUCGCUAGUAAUCGUAGAUCAGCAUUCUCCGGUGAAUACGUUUCCGGGUCUUGUACACACCGCCCGUCACACCACGAGAGUUUGUAACCCCCGAAGCCGGUGAAGUAACCUUUUGGGAAGGUAAGCCUACCU